RNAcentral lists this ribosomal RNA (450 nucleotides) under uncultured bacterium. Its description in RNAcentral is "bacterial SSU rRNA". It matches the Rfam family "Bacterial small subunit ribosomal RNA", at positions 330 to 795 of the family's 1533-position model. The record is from RNAcentral.
GCCAGACUCCUACGGGAGGCAGCAGUGGGGAAUAUUGGGCAAUGGGCGCAAGCCUGACCCAGCAACGCCGCGUGAAGGAAGAAGGCUUUCGGGUUGUAAACUUCUUUUAAGAGGGAAGAGUAGAAGACGGUACCUCUUGAAUAAGCCACGGCUAACUACGUGCCAGCAGCCGCGGUAAUACGUAGGUGGCAAGCGUUGUCCGGAUUUACUGGGUGUAAAGGGCGUGUAGCCGGGCCGGCAAGUCAGAUGUGAAAUCCCAGGGCUCAACCUUGGAACUGCAUUUGAAACUGUUGGUCUUGAGUAUCGGAGAGGCAGGCGGAAUUCCUAGUGUAGCGGUGAAAUGCGUAGAUAUUAGGAGGAACACCAGUGGCGAAGGCGGCCUGCUGGACGACAACUGACGGUGAGGCGCGAAAGCGUGGGGAGCAAACAGGAUUAGGUACCCCAGUAGAA